CCCUUAGAUGUUCUGGGCCGCACGCGCGCUACACUGAUGCAUUCAACGAGUCUAAAACCUGCUCUGAUAGGGGUGGGUAAUUUUUUGAAUGUGCAUCGUGAUUGGGAUGGAUGAUUGCAAUUUUUCAUCUUCAACGAGGAAUGCCUAGUAAACGCAAGUCAUCAGCUUGCAUUGAUUACGUCCCUGCCCUUUGUACACACCGCCCGUCGCUCCUACCGAUUGAAUGAUCCGAUGAAUAUCAUGGAUUGAGGAUGCAAGUAGGUUCGCCUAUCUUCAUCUUCGAGAAGUGAAGUAAAUCUUAUCAUUUAGAGGAAGGAGAAGUCGUAACA
This 329-nucleotide ribosomal RNA is filed under the name uncultured eukaryote. Its description in RNAcentral is "partial 18S ribosomal RNA". It matches the Rfam family "Eukaryotic small subunit ribosomal RNA", at positions 1470 to 1796 of the family's 1831-position model. The record is from RNAcentral.